RNAcentral lists this ribosomal RNA (693 nucleotides) under uncultured bacterium. Its description in RNAcentral is "bacterial SSU rRNA". It matches the Rfam family "Bacterial small subunit ribosomal RNA", at positions 55 to 757 of the family's 1533-position model. The record is from RNAcentral.
AUGCAAGUCGAGCGGAGACAGUGAGUAGCUUGCUAUGAGCUGUUUUAGCGGCGGACGGGUGAGUAACGCGUGAGCAACCUUUCCCAGACAGGGGAAUAACACACCGAAAGGUGUACUAAUACCGCAUAAGACCACGGAAUCACAUGGUUCUGAGGUAAAAGAUUUAUCGGUUUGGGGUGGGCUCGCGUCCGAUUAGGUAGUUGGUGAGGUAACGGCCCACCAAGCCGACGAUCGGUAGCCGACCUGAGAGGGUGAUCGGCCACAUUGGGACUGAGACACGGCCCAAACUCCUACGGGAGGCAGCAGUGGGGAAUAUUGGGCAAUGGAGGAAACUCUGACCCAGCAACGCCGCGUGGAGGAAGAAGGUUUUCGGAUCGUAAACUCCUGUCCUUGGAGACGAGUAGAAGACGGUAUCCAAGGAGGAAGCCCCGGCUAACUACGUGCCAGCAGCCGCGGUAAUACGUAGGGGGCAAGCGUUGUCCGGAAUAAUUGGGCGUAAAGGGCGCGUAGGCGGCUCGGUAAGUCUGGAGUGAAAGUCCUGCUUUUAAGGUGGGAAUUGCUUUGGAUACUGUCGGGCUUGAGUGCAGGAGAGGUUAGUGGAAUUCCCAGUGUAGCGGUGAAAUGCGUAGAGAUUGGGGGGAACACCAGUGGCGAAGGCGACUAACUGGACUGUAACUGACGCUGAGGCGCGAA